Long non-coding RNA from Oncorhynchus nerka (sockeye salmon), 1618 nucleotides. RefSeq lists it as uncharacterized. The record is from RefSeq and is a predicted model, not a curated record. NCBI's taxonomy places the organism in Eukaryota, Metazoa, Chordata, Actinopteri, Salmoniformes, Salmonidae. The transcript is spliced from 2 exons.
GGAAGUAGUUAGGACGCUCUGCUGACUCCAGAGAGACCACCGGGAGACCUGUAAUACAGAGUUUAACAUAUGGGUGAAGCUCAUGUUCCCUGUGGCUCUCUUCUCCUGUAGGUCCAAGGCAUAGCGAUUGGUCUCCACCACUAUAUCUCCACCACUUUCAGAAAUAGCUUGAAGCACUCUGCCUCAGAGGGAGAUGGCAAGGGACUUUGCACUCCAGACUGGAACUCGUCAAAGCAAACAGCAGGGCCAAACGGGGUGAAAUGGAUGGCGGCCUUCCAGCUACCGCAGACCCUUCGUACUUCACCCACUGUUGGUCUGCCUCCAUCACCACCAGCAUCUUCAGAGGGACCUGGGACUUUGUCGGUUGGAAAGGGUUCCUCAGAUUCUGAGUUAUCAAUGGCCACAAGGCUGGGGGCAGCUCCUCAGUGUCACUGUCAGAAUCUGAUUCCUCACUGUCAUACUCAGAAUCAUUGUCAGAAUUUACAAAUAUCUCCAGAAUUUCCUCAUUUGUGAGUUGUCUCAUUUUGAAAGACAUUGCUAAUGCUACAGCUUAGCCCACUAGCUACAUACAUAAACAACAACACUAAUUGGCUCCAAGUGAGUGUCAGGGGAGAUGUGAUUGGCUGCCGGUGUGUUGAUACUGAUGAUUUGUCUCCACAGAUGGUUUGUUUAUAUAGCAAGUUAGGAGAACUAACACAGCAGGUUAGGUGAAUUAACGUAGGCUCAUAAUUAGCUACUAUUGCCCCUGACACAACGACCAGAUAGAGCUGUUGAAGGCCUCGCUAUUCCAUCUAGCCACAACAGUAGAAACAUAAAACAAACUACCUGUGGCGAUCAGUAUCAUUACACCGGCAAGAGCCACUUGUAUCCAUAAAUCACUAUCAGAAAAUGGUUUGUGUGGUAAUAAUUUCUUUAUUUGUUGUUUAAUUCAUAUGUUUUCAAGUAAUGGUGACAAAUCAUGCAUUCUGAUUCUUGCAUAGAUUUUAAUGGACACGUAUGAUGUGUGUAAAAUUAUUUUUUGAAGGCUGUACUGAGUAUGAUGAGCUAAUGCUAAGCUAUUUGCCGGCUAUGUGUGGAGCAAUGUUUGUUGACAUCAUUCAAUACAUUCUGUUUGUCACGUAAAUGUCUGUCAAACCAAAGAUAUUAUAGAAAAUGAGGUGAAGGGAUGGUUCACUCGUCUUUCGAGUCAACUUCAGGAAGACAAUGAUGGUAGAUGACACAGCCCCUUUCGCCUUUGAAAUACAUACAGACCCAACUCAUCUUGUCAUCUCUUCUUAUCUUUGGUUGACACAGAAAAACAAACAUGGCGGUGCGCACAAACUCUGCCCACCGUCGGAUUACAUUAGUAUUUUAGAAAGUGUUUUACUCAAUUACUUCAAUCACUGGUGAGCUCACCCGUGAUUUGAUUAAUUGUAAAUAGUAACUGCUAUUAGCUAAUUCAUAUUAUGGUUUCGAUCAGCUGAGAGUUAGCUAAAUAUGACAGUUUGCGUUAGCUCCCUCUUUAUUCAGUUAGCACUAGGACUAACGUAGCCUACAUUUCUCUGAUAUGGAUGAGAAUUGUGUUACACUGUUGCUACUUCUGUGCACAUUGCAUCCAAAAAUAAACUGCUCACAUUGA